This 558-nucleotide ribosomal RNA is filed under the name Klebsiella sp. Y45. Its description in RNAcentral is "bacterial SSU rRNA". It matches the Rfam family "Bacterial small subunit ribosomal RNA", at positions 8 to 557 of the family's 1533-position model. The record is from RNAcentral. Lineage: Bacteria; Pseudomonadati; Pseudomonadota; Gammaproteobacteria; Enterobacterales; Enterobacteriaceae.
AGAGUUUGAUCCUGGCUCAGAUUGAACGCUGGCGGCAGGCCUAACACAUGCAAGUCGAACGGUAGCACAGAGAGCUUGCUCUCGGGUGACGAGUGGCGGACGGGUGAGUAAUGUCUGGGAAACUGCCUGAUGGAGGGGGAUAACUACUGGAAACGGUAGCUAAUACCGCAUAACGUCGCAAGACCAAAGAGGGGGACCUUCGGGCCUCUUGCCAUCAGAUGUGCCCAGAUGGGAUUAGCUAGUAGGCGGGGUAAUGGCCCACCUAGGCGACGAUCCCUAGCUGGUCUGAGAGGAUGACCAGCCACACUGGAACUGAGACACGGUCCAGACUCCUACGGGAGGCAGCAGUGGGGAAUAUUGCACAAUGGGCGCAAGCCUGAUGCAGCCAUGCCGCGUGUGUGAAGAAGGCCUUCGGGUUGUAAAGCACUUUCAGCGGGGAGGAAGGCGGUACGGUUAAUAACCGUGCUGAUUGACGUUACCCGCAGAAGAAGCACCGGCUAACUCCGUGCCAGCAGCCGCGGUAAUACGGAGGGUGCAAGCGUUAAUCGGAAUUACUGG